AGAUUGAACGCUGGCGGCAGGCUUACACAUGCAAGUCGAACGGUAGCACGGGGGGCGACCUGGUGGCGAGUGGCGAACGGGUGAGUAAUGCAUCGGAACGUGCCCGGUAGUGGGGGAUAACCCGAGAAAUCGGGCCUAAUACCGCAUGAGCCCGGGAGGAAAGCGGGGGACCUGAUGAGGGCCUCGCGCUAUCGGAGCGGCCGAUGUCCGAUUAGCUGGUUGGUGGGGUAAAGGCCCACCAAGGCGACGAUCGGUAGCGGGUCUGAGAGGACGGCCCGCCACACUGGGACUGAGACACGGCCCAGACUCCUACGGGAGGCAGCAGUGGGGAAUUUUGGACAAUGGGCGAAACUGGAAUCCAGCCAUGCCGCGUGGGAAAGGAAGGCCUUCGGGUUGUAAACCGCUUUCGGCCGGGACGAAAUCGCCCGCAUGAACAGUGUGGGUGGAUGACGGUACUGGCAGAAGAAGCACCGGCUAACUACGUGCCAGCAGCCGCGGUAAUACGUAGGGUGCGAGCGUUAAUCGGAAUUACUGGGCGUAAAGCGUGCGCAGGCGGCCCUUUAAGUCAGGUGUGAAAGCCCCGGGUUAACCUGGGAAUGGCGCUUGAAACUGGAGGGCUUGGAGUGCGGCAGAGGGGGGUGGAAUUCCUGGUGUAGCGGUGAAAUGCGUAGAGAUCAGGAGGAACACCGAUGGCGAAGGAGCCCCCUGGGCGGCGUCUGACGCUCAGGCACGAAAGCGUGGGGGAGCAAACAGGAUUAGAUACCCUGGUAGUCCACGC
This 778-nucleotide ribosomal RNA is filed under the name uncultured beta proteobacterium. Its description in RNAcentral is "bacterial SSU rRNA". It matches the Rfam family "Bacterial small subunit ribosomal RNA", at positions 26 to 800 of the family's 1533-position model. The record is from RNAcentral. Lineage: Bacteria; Pseudomonadati; Pseudomonadota; Betaproteobacteria.